GAUGAAGAACGUAGCGAAAUGCGAUAAGUAGUGUGAAUUGCAGAAUUCAGUGAAUCAUCGAAUCUUUGAACGCACAUUGCGCCCCUUGGUAUUCCAUGGGGCAUGUCUGUUCGAGCGUCAUUUGUACCUUCAAGCUUUGCUUGGUGUUGGGUGUUUGUCCUGAGGGACUCGCCUUAAAGUAAUUGGCAGCCAGUGUUUUGGUUUUGAAGCGCAGCACAAGUCGCGAUUCAAAGCUAUACGCCAGCUUCCACAAGCCUUUUUCACUUUUGACCUCGGAUCAGGUAGGGAUACCCGCUGAACUUAAGCAUAUCAAUAAGCGGAGGA
Molecule: unclassified non-coding RNA, 324 nt
Filed under: soil metagenome
Description: partial contains 5.8S ribosomal RNA, internal transcribed spacer 2, and large subunit ribosomal RNA
Rfam family: 5.8S ribosomal RNA (bases 1-120)
Source: RNAcentral